Molecule: ribosomal RNA, 507 nt
Filed under: uncultured Glomeraceae
Lineage: Eukaryota; Fungi; Glomeromycota; Glomeromycetes; Glomerales; Glomeraceae
Description: SSU rRNA
Rfam family: Eukaryotic small subunit ribosomal RNA
Source: RNAcentral
AGCAGCCGCGGUAAUUCCAGCUCCAAUAGCGUAUAUUAAAGUUGUUGCAGUUAAAAAGCUCGUAGUUGAAUUUCGGGGUUAGUAGGUUGGUCAUGCCUCUGGUAUGUACUGGUCUCACUGAUUCCUCCUUCCUGAUGAGCCGUAAUGCCAUUAAUUUGGUGUUGCGGGGAAUUUGGACUGUUACUUUGAAAAAUUGAGUGUUUAAAGCAAGCUAACGCUUGAAUACAUUAGCAUGGAAUAAUGAAAUAGGACGUUCGAUCCUAUUUUGUUGGUUUCUAGGAUUGACGUAAUGAUUAAUAGGGAUAGUUGGGGGCAUUAGUAUUCAAUUGUCAGAGGUGAAAUUCUUGGAUUUAUUGAAGACUAACUACUGCGAAAGCAUUUGCCAAGGAUGUUUUCAUUAAUUCAAGAACGAAAGUUAGGGGAUCGAAGACGAUCAGAUACCGUCGUAGUCUUAACCAUAAACUAUGCCGACUAGGGAUCGGAUGAUGUUAAUUUUUAAUGUACUCA